CACGUAGGAACCGAGCGUUAUCCGAGUUUACUGGGCGUAAAGCGCGUGUAGGUGGCUCGAUAAGUUGGGUGUGAAAGCUCCUGGCUCAACUGGGAGAGGCCGCUCAAUACUGUCGGGCUUGAGAACGGUAGAGGGAGGUGGAAUUCCCGGUGUAGUGGUGAAAUGCGUAGAUAUCGGGAGGAACACCAGUGGUGAAGGCGGCCUCCUGGACCGUUUCUGACACUGAGACGCGAAAGCUAGGGGAGCGAACGGG
This 253-nucleotide ribosomal RNA is filed under the name uncultured bacterium. RNAcentral describes it as "partial 16S ribosomal RNA". It matches the Rfam family "Bacterial small subunit ribosomal RNA", at positions 524 to 776 of the family's 1533-position model. The record is from RNAcentral.